UGAGGAAUUUUCCGCAAUGGGCGCAAGCCUGACGAUGCGACGCCGUGUGAACGAUGAAGGCCUUCGGGUUGUAAAGUUCUGUCGCCUGCGAACAAGGUUAUAUUAUGAAUAAUAGUGUAACUUGAGUGUAGUAGGAAAGGAAGCACCGGCUAACUCCGUGCCAGCAGCUGCGGUAAUACGGAGGGUGCAAGCGUUAGUCGGAAUUACUGGGCGUAAAGGGUGCGUAGGCGGGGAUGUAAGUCAGAUGUGAAAUACCGUUGCUCAACAACGGCCGUGCAUCUGAAACUGCAUUUC
RNAcentral lists this ribosomal RNA (294 nucleotides) under uncultured Chlamydia sp. Its description in RNAcentral is "partial 16S ribosomal RNA". It matches the Rfam family "Bacterial small subunit ribosomal RNA", at positions 355 to 641 of the family's 1533-position model. The record is from RNAcentral. Lineage: Bacteria; Pseudomonadati; Chlamydiota; Chlamydiia; Chlamydiales; Chlamydiaceae.